This 752-nucleotide ribosomal RNA is filed under the name Staphylococcus nepalensis. RNAcentral describes it as "bacterial SSU rRNA". It matches the Rfam family "Bacterial small subunit ribosomal RNA", at positions 18 to 752 of the family's 1533-position model. The record is from RNAcentral. Lineage: Bacteria; Bacillati; Bacillota; Bacilli; Caryophanales; Staphylococcaceae.
UNUGGCUCAGGAUGAACGCUGGCGGCGUGCCUAAUACAUGCAAGUCGAGCGAACAGAUAAGGAGCUUGCUCCUUUGACGUUAGCGGCGGACGGGUGAGUAACACGUGGGUAACCUACCUAUAAGACUGGAAUAACUCCGGGAAACCGGGGCUAAUGCUGGAUAAUAUUUAGAACCGCAUGGUUCUAAAGUGAAAGAUGGUUUUGCUAUCACUUAUAGAUGGACCCGCGCCGUAUUAGCUAGUUGGUGGGGUAAUGGCUUACCAAGGCAACGAUACGUAGCCGACCUGAGAGGGUGAUCGGCCACACUGGAACUGAGACACGGUCCAGACUCCUACGGGAGGCAGCAGUAGGGAAUCUUCCGCAAUGGGCGAAAGCCUGACGGAGCAACGCCGCGUGAGUGAUGAAGGUCUUCGGAUCGUAAAACUCUGUUAUUAGGGAAGAACAAAUGUGUAAGUAACUGUGCACGUCUUGACGGUACCUAAUCAGAAAGCCACGGCUAACUACGUGCCAGCAGCCGCGGUAAUACGUAGGUGGCAAGCGUUAUCCGGAAUUAUUGGGCGUAAAGCGCGCGUAGGCGGUUUCUUAAGUCUGAUGUGAAAGCCCACGGCUCAACCGUGGAGGGUCAUUGGAAACUGGGAAACUUGAGUGCAGAAGAGGAAAGUGGAAUUCCAUGUGUAGCGGUGAAAUGCGCAGAGAUAUGGAGGAACACCAGUGGCGAAGGCGACUUUCUGGUCUGUAACUGACGCUGAUGG